CACUAUCCCCGAUAACAGUGGAAAUUCUUGUUGUUGAUUGCUGCUUUAAUAGCAAUCAACAACAAGAUUGCAACGGAUAGCGAGAAAUAGC
This 91-nucleotide small RNA is filed under the name Flavobacterium urumqiense. Its description in RNAcentral is "Flavo-1 RNA". It matches the Rfam family "Flavo-1 RNA". The record is from RNAcentral. Lineage: Bacteria; Pseudomonadati; Bacteroidota; Flavobacteriia; Flavobacteriales; Flavobacteriaceae.